Molecule: ribosomal RNA, 394 nt
Filed under: uncultured bacterium
Lineage: Bacteria
Description: partial 16S ribosomal RNA
Rfam family: Bacterial small subunit ribosomal RNA
Source: RNAcentral
AUACGUAGGGGACGAGCGUUGUCCGGAAUUACUGGGCGUAAAGGGCGCGCAGGCGGAUAUUUAAGUCAGCUGUAAAAGGCUAUGGCUCAACCAUAGUAUGCCCUGCGAACUGGAAGGCUUGAGUACAGGAGAGGAAAGCGGAAUUCCUAGUGUAGCGGUGAAAUGCGUAGAUAUUAGGAGGAACACCAGUGGCGAAGGCGGCUUUCUGGACUGAAACUGACGCUGAGGUACGAAAGCGUGGGGAGCAAACAGGAUUAGAUACCCUGGUAGUCCACGCUGUAAACGAUGAGCACUAGGUGUCGGGGUCGCAAGACUUCGGUGCCGCAGUUAACGCAAUAAGUGCUCCGCCUGGGGAGUACGUUCGCAAGAAUGAAACUCAAAGGAAUUGGCGGGG